RNAcentral lists this ribosomal RNA (792 nucleotides) under uncultured bacterium. RNAcentral describes it as "bacterial SSU rRNA". It matches the Rfam family "Bacterial small subunit ribosomal RNA", at positions 8 to 796 of the family's 1533-position model. The record is from RNAcentral.
AGAGUUUGAUCAUGGCUCAGGAUGAACGCUAGCGGCAGGCCUAAUACAUGCAAGACGAACGGUAAGAAUUGUAGCAAUAUGAUUCCAAGAGUGUCGUACGGGCGCGUAACACGUAUGCAACCUACCUUGUACAGGAGUAUAGCUCGGGGAAACUCGAAUUAACCCUCCAUAAUAUGUCGAUGUGGCAUCACAUUGAUAUUAAAACUACGGUGGUACAAGAUGGGCAUGCGUUUGAUUAGCUAGUUGGCGGUGUAAUGGACCACCAAGGCGAUGAUCAAUAGGGGAACUGAGAGGUUGAUCCCCCACACUGGCACUGAGAUACGGGCCAGACUCCUACGGGAGGCAGCAGUAGGGAAUAUUGGUCAAUGGAUGGAAGUCUGAACCAGCCAUGCCGCGUGCAGGAAGAAGGCCUUCUGGGUUGUAAACUGCUUUUGCCAGGGGAUAAAAAUUCCAUGCGUGGAAAAUUGAAGGUACCUGGUGAAUAAGCACCGGCUAACUACGUGCCAGCAGCCGCGGUAAUACGUAGGGUGCAAGCGUUGUCCGGAUUUAUUGGGUUUAAAGGGUGCGUAGGCGGCCCUGUAAGUCAGUGGUGAAAUACUCCAGCUUAACUGGAGGGGUGCCAUUGAUACUGCAGGGCUUGAGUUAAGUUGAAGUUGGCGGAAUUGACGGUGUAGCGGUGAAAUGCUUAGAUAUCGUCAAGAACACCGAUAGUGAAGACAGCUAACUAAACUUUUACUGACGCUGAGGCACGAAAGUGUGGGGAUCAAACAGGAUUAGAUACCCUAGUAGUCC